RNAcentral lists this ribosomal RNA (449 nucleotides) under uncultured bacterium. RNAcentral's name for it is "partial 16S ribosomal RNA". It matches the Rfam family "Bacterial small subunit ribosomal RNA", at positions 338 to 795 of the family's 1533-position model. The record is from RNAcentral.
CCUACGGGUGGCUGCAGUGGGGAAUUUUGGACAAUGGGCGCAAGCCUGAUCCAGCCAUUCCGCGUGAGUGAAGAAGGCCUUCGGGUUGUAAAGCUCUUUCAGCAGGAACGAAACGGUGGGUCUUAAUACGGCCUGCUAAUGACGGUACCUGCAGAAGAAGCACCGGCUAACUACGUGCCAGCAGCCGCGGUAAUACGUAGGGUACUACUGUUAAUCGGACGUGCUGGGCGUAAGGCGUAAGCAGGCGGCGAAAUCCCCGGGCUCAACCUGGGAACGGCGUUUGUGACUGUGUGGCUAGAGUGUAGCAGAGGGGGGUGGAAUUCCACGUGUAGCAGUGAAAUGCGUAGAGAUGUGGAGGAACACCGAUGGCGAAGGCAGCCCCCUGGGUUAACACUGACGCUCAUGCACGAAAGCGUGGGGAGCAAACAGGAUUAGAUACCCCGGUAGUC